UUUUGUUUAGACAUAAAAAUGUAAACAUAAGGACAUUUUAAAAUACUUUUGUUGAUUUCAUAUUGAAACAAUUGAACUUGUUUGUGUUGAUUUUCUUGAGUUGAUGAUAACAAGCAUUUUUCCCUUUUUUUCCUCUUUCAUUUCCCUUUCUCCUCUUCUCCCUGGAAUGUUGUCCUGCUUUGCACUGUGAUUGCAUGUCACUCGCUGGCAAUGAUGUCUCGUCACAUGGCUUAUUGCUAUGAUAAAUACCAUGCUCAAUUAUUCUGUCACAUGUUGCCAUGGUUCCCAUACUGCUACACUCUUCUGUAUGUUGGCUUAUAUGAUUUUCCUUCUGAAAGUUCCCAUGGUGCACGGUGCUACGCCAGCCACUGUGUCUGCAGCAACAACAUCUGCCACAAGUGUCCCCUUCGCUGCAACAGCCACAGCCAACCAGAUACCCAUAAUAUCUGCCGAACAUCUGACUAGCCACAAGUAUGUUACACAGAUGUAGACAUUUUGUCAUCAUACAAUCAUACUAAAGAGAAAAGGACAGUGUGCUUGGAUAGAGAAAAGGACACGAGCAUUAGCCAUAAUGUAUAUACCGUCAAGCCACACACAAAAAUUCCCUCAGCAGUAAGACAUCCACAUACUGCAUGUUAACAAGAUGAAACGACGACUUGGAAAUCCACUGCACACUGUUGCCUAUAUACUUUGUACAUUUAAUUGAUAUUUGUGCUGAGGUGAUCUUAUUGUCUAAAUCUACAACAUUGUCUAUCUUUUCUAGCACAGAGGUAUGCCUAUAUAUUUAAAUAUGCAUACAUAGUCUAUUUCCUACAUAAUCAUAUUUGUCAUCUUGAAAAGACAGACUAUGAUGUAAUCAUAAAUCUAUUAUGUAUUGGUACGUCUGUAGACCAAGAUAUAAUUUUUUAAAGUAAGUUUAUUUCUUUCAAGGUUUACAAAUAACAAAGGUGCACCUUGUAUUUAAAAUUGCCAUUAUAGAUGAGAGCGUGCAUGCACAGUAAUUUUUGUUUAAGAGUAAUAUUUUUAAUGUAAUAGAUUGUAAGAAGUGGUAAGAGAGGUAUCUGACAGAGAUGAAUGUGCCAAGCAAAACCACAACUGUGUAUAUUUUAAAGCACAUCAAUGGCUUUAAGUACCAUGUUGUUAAGGAUUCUCAUGAAGUGCCAUAGACUGUACAUCAAAUUAGAGUAUUAUUUCUGCAGUGUUAUUUUCAGAGCCACAUUUUUGCUUAUUUUGUUAGUACUAUUCAGUCAACGGCACCAUUCUGUUUCAAAACCAAAGCUGUCUCAGAAAUGGCUGAUUCAACCUAUAAUAAAAGUAGACAACAGAAAACCA
Molecule: long non-coding RNA, 1332 nt
Filed under: Gopherus agassizii (Agassiz's desert tortoise)
Lineage: Eukaryota; Metazoa; Chordata; Testudines; Testudinidae
Description: lncRNA (ENSGAGG00000011734.1)
Source: RNAcentral